GGAAUUUUGGACAAUGGGGGCAACCCUGAUCCAGCCAUGCCGCGUGAGUGAAGAAGGCCUUCGGGUUGUAAAGCUCUUUCAGUUGGGAAGAAAAGGCGGGCUCUAACAUAGCUUGCUACUGACGGUACCAACAGAAGAAGCACCGGCUAACUACGUGCCAGCAGCCGCGGUAAUACGUAGGGUGCGAGCGUUAAUCGGAAUUACUGGGCGUAAAGCGUGCGCAGGCGGUUCGCUAAGACAGGUGUGAAAUCCCCGGGCUCAACCUGGGAAUGGCGCUUGUGACUGGCGGGCUAGAGUACGGCAGAGGGGGGUGGAAUUCCACGUGUAGCAGUGAAAUGCGUAGAGAUGUGGAGGAACACCGAUGGCGAAGGCAGCCCCCUGGGCCGAUACUGACGCUCAUGCACGAAAGCGUGGGGAGCAAACAGGAUUAGAUACCCUGGUAGUCC
Molecule: ribosomal RNA, 446 nt
Filed under: uncultured bacterium
Lineage: Bacteria
Description: bacterial SSU rRNA
Rfam family: Bacterial small subunit ribosomal RNA
Source: RNAcentral